This 574-nucleotide ribosomal RNA is filed under the name Limosilactobacillus fermentum. Its description in RNAcentral is "bacterial SSU rRNA". It matches the Rfam family "Bacterial small subunit ribosomal RNA", at positions 35 to 565 of the family's 1533-position model. Lineage: Bacteria; Bacillati; Bacillota; Bacilli; Lactobacillales; Lactobacillaceae. The record is from RNAcentral.
GCCGGCGGUGUGCCUAAUACAUGCAAGUCGAACGCGUUGGCCCAAUUGAUUGAUGGUGCUUGCACCUGAUUGAUUUUGGUCGCCAACGAGUGGCGGACGGGUGAGUAACACGUAGGUAACCUGCCCAGAAGCGGGGGACAACAUUUGGAAACAGAUGCUAAUACCGCAUAACAGCGUUGUUCGCAUGAACAACGCUUAAAAGAUGGCUUCUCGCUAUCACUUCUGGAUGGACCUGCGGUGCAUUAGCUUGUUGGUGGGGUAACGGCCUACCAAGGCGAUGAUGCAUAGCCGAGUUGAGAGACUGAUCGGCCACAAUGGGACUGAGACACGGCCCAUACUCCUACGGGAGGCAGCAGUAGGGAAUCUUCCACAAUGGGCGCAAGCCUGAUGGAGCAACACCGCGUGAGUGAAGAAGGGUUUCGGCUCGUAAAGCUCUGUUGUUAAAGAAGAACACGUAUGAGAGUAACUGUUCAUACGUUGACGGUAUUUAACCAGAAAGUCACGGCUAACUACGUGCCAGCAGCCGCGGUAAUACGUAGGUGGCAAGCGUUAUCCGGAUUUAUUGGGCGUAAAG